AUCAAAGUAGACGCCACCGGCGGCGGCGCCACCCGUGACGGUGGAAGAGGUGGACGCGAGCCGCGGAGCCGGCGGCGCGGGCGGGAGCGGCGGCGGGGGCGCGUUGAGCUCGGACAGCAUGCUCUCGACCCAGGACGACAGGUCGGAGGGGUUGUAGUGCACUGUGUCCGUGGCGAGGUGCGACACGAACCCGUCAUCGGCAGCAGCGCCGGCGCCGCCCAUCCCCAUGGCCAUCUCGAGCUGCUCCAGCUUCUGCGCGACGUCCGCCAUGUCCGACGAGCGCACCUUGUACCCGAGCGCGGCCAGCAGCUCGUCCACCUCCUCAUCCUGCUCCCCCGCGCCCGCCGCCGCCGCCAUCAUCUUGUCCUUGGAGGAGCCCAUGUCACCGCCGCUCCCGCCGGCGUCUUGGUACUCGCGCUUCAUGAUCUCGGGGCUACGCACCUAGCUAGCCAGCUAAUAAUUGCUUGCGCGCCUCGGUUUCGGUUCUGG
This 489-nucleotide long non-coding RNA is filed under the name Setaria italica (foxtail millet). Its description in RNAcentral is "long non-coding RNA (SITA_LNC006517)". The record is from RNAcentral. Lineage: Eukaryota; Viridiplantae; Streptophyta; Magnoliopsida; Poales; Poaceae.